Molecule: long non-coding RNA, 441 nt
Organism: Salarias fasciatus (jewelled blenny)
Lineage: Eukaryota; Metazoa; Chordata; Actinopteri; Blenniiformes; Blenniidae
Exons: 3
Source: RefSeq, a predicted model, not a curated record
CUCCUUUCAUGGGACUGCAGUAAAGAAGAGGAAGUAAAAAAUAAGCAAUAAAGAGGGUGGAUAAUGUUCUCUUCUUGAGGGAAAUAUUGGUCAAUCUGAUAGUGAUGGAAUCAGUACCUAUAACCCUGUUCCUCACCAGGUGGCAAAACCAUCAUAAGGCGAAGCUCAAUGUGUCAUCUGGUGGAGCACUACACAACAGAUUGAUUUGAGGAGUGUAGAUUUAGAGGAAUAUUAAUAACAAAGAGAGAGAAGGCUGGGAAAACGUCAUGCUCACCUUUCAAAGAGAAAACACUGAGUAGUUAGUUAUUCGGUAUGGAAAAAUAAUAAAAUGAGCUGAAUUUCCAUUUUUUUGUUCUUGGGCAAAAAUAAAAAUGACAAAAGGACUCAUUUCUGGAAUCUGAUUAUUUUAAUAUCAACAGAGAAACAAACUAACAAAACGUA